Molecule: long non-coding RNA, 316 nt
Organism: Carassius gibelio (silver crucian carp)
Lineage: Eukaryota; Metazoa; Chordata; Actinopteri; Cypriniformes; Cyprinidae
Exons: 3
Source: RefSeq, a predicted model, not a curated record
UAGAUGUUAAAAGCAAGAGACAUGGGAGAUCAUCAUUCCCUUGAGAUUUUAUAACUCAAACCAACUUUGGAGUUGUCUGAUUUGGAGAGUCAUUAUUCUUGGUCUGCGCUCUUAGAGGCCACUGAUGAAGAGCAGGCGGUGACUGGGAUGAAUCCUGGUCAGGGAGGAGAAUCUUCUUUCCCCUAAACAGCACUGGUUUUAAAGGAGGACGCUGCCCUGGAUGAUGUAGAAGAUGUCACAUGCUGUGCUGAUGGGGCUUCUUCAUGAUUACAUCAGUUAUGCUAAAGAGAUCAUGAAAAUUGACCGUGAUGCAUGA